Molecule: ribosomal RNA, 265 nt
Filed under: uncultured archaeon
Lineage: Archaea
Description: partial 16S ribosomal RNA
Rfam family: Archaeal small subunit ribosomal RNA
Source: RNAcentral
AGACGUCUACAUUAGAUACCCGCGUAGUCCCAGCCGUAAACUAUGCGCGUUAGGUGUAUCGGUGACCACGAGUUACCGAGGUGCCGAAGGGAAACCGUGAAACGUGCCGCCUGGGAAGUACGGUCGCAAGGCUGAAACUUAAAGGAAUUGGCGGGGAGCACCACAACAGGUGGAGCCUUGCGGUUUAAUUGGACUCAACGCCGGGAAGCUCACCGGAUAGGACAGCAGAAUGAUUGCCGGGCUGAAGACCCUGCAUGACUAGCUG